This 1392-nucleotide long non-coding RNA is filed under the name Calidris pugnax (ruff). RNAcentral describes it as "lncRNA (ENSCPUG00000018795.1)". The record is from RNAcentral. Lineage: Eukaryota; Metazoa; Chordata; Aves; Charadriiformes; Scolopacidae.
CAGUUUACUUUCUAACAUCCUGAAAGCUUCAUCAUGACUGUUCAGCACACCUCACCCAGGGCUGAGAUUAAAAGUUAAAAAAGAGAAAGAAUGAACACAACAGGAGAGAAAACAGAAGAGCUUUUGGCAGCAGCCUGGUGACACUCUGGGGUAGCAGAAAUGUAUAAACUUGAAUUUCCAUUGUCUUGACGAUGUCUUUGGGAUAACAAAGACCAGCAAACAACUUCUGAUCUGAAAAGAAGCAGCAUCAGCAAUGGGACUCUUGUUCAACGCUCGUGAUGACGAUGGAGCUUGUCAAGCUCUCCUGACUUGCAUUGACAUCCAUGGCCUGUCACAAGGUCCCCUCAAUCAGGACAGUGUAAAAGCACAUUAGAAUCAUAGAAUACCAGGUUGCAAGGGACCUCAAGGAUCAUCUGGUCCAACCUUUCUUGGCAAAAGCACGGUAUAGACAAGAUGGACCAGCAGCAUCCUGUCCAGCUGAAUGGGGAAUCCAUCUCUUCCUGGAAAGAUUAUUCUAAUGGCUGAUUCUUCUCUUUGUGAAAAAUUUUCCUCUUGUAUCCAAUGGAAUCUCUCCCAGAGUAACUUGUACCAUUACCCCUCAUCUUUUCUGUGUGACUCCUUGUAAAAAGGCAGUCUCCAUCUCCUUUAUAGCCACUUGGUGAUAAGGUCUCCCCUAACCCUUCUUAUCUCAAGGCUGAACAAAUCCCAUUCUCUCAGCUUUUCCUCAUACAGCAAGCUUCCCAGUCCUUUGAUCACUUUGGUGGCUCUUCUCUGGACUCUCUCCAGUCUGUCCACAUCUUUUUUGUACAGGACAAACCUCAACACGCUAUUCCAGGUGUGGCCUGACAAGCGCUGAGCAUUUGGUCCAGGAACUGGCCUUCCUGUAGCAAAGAGCAUCAGGAUGGGUAUGGUCUUCCCUCCCAGGACGUCUUCCAGCUCUAUGGAUGCUAUCAGCUGACACGUCUGGCUGGUAUCCUCUGCCAAAAAUACACACGCUCUCAACAUUUCUCAGGAGUUGGGUUUUUUUCCCCCUCUGUGACAUACUCAUGUCAAAUUUCUUCCUGGCUCUGUGAGACACAAGACUGUCCACACCUACCAGAUAAUGAGUUUAACAUUUCAAGGACAGAAGCUCUCAUUCUAAGCAAGACACAGGGUGGAUUUGCAGGCCUGAUUUGGGGUCAAGCCAGAGUUGGAAGCCGUUCUGCUCCCUGGAUCCUCCUCAGGGGUGUCCUGUCCUGGCCCUCCAUUGGUACAGUUAUCAGGCCAGCAUCAUUCCAGCAACCAGCACAGGGGAAAAACAUGCACACACGCCGCCCUCUCUGCCCGUGGCAGCCAGAGCACCUUUCAGAUAUCCCACCUCACCUGCUGACACAAUCCAUCAGCACUCACUGA